RNAcentral lists this ribosomal RNA (406 nucleotides) under uncultured bacterium. RNAcentral describes it as "partial 16S ribosomal RNA". It matches the Rfam family "Bacterial small subunit ribosomal RNA", at positions 30 to 526 of the family's 1533-position model. The record is from RNAcentral.
AUUGAACGCUGGCGGCAGGCCUAACACAUGCAAGUCGAACGAGUGGCGGACGGGGGAGUAAUGUCUGGGAGACUGCCUGAGGGAGGGGGAUAACUACUGGAAACGGUAGCUAAUACCGCAUACCCUCAGAUAUGCCCCGAGGGGAUUAGCUUGUGGGUGGGGUAACGGCUCCCCAAGGCGACGAUCCCUAGCUGGUCUGAGAGGAUGACCAGCAACACUGGAACUGAGACACGGUCCAGACUCCGACGGUAGGCAGCAGUGGGGAAUAUUGCACAAUGGGCGCAAGCCUGAUGCAGCCAUGCCGCGUGUAUGAAGAAGGCCUUCGGGUUGUAAAGUACUUUCAGCGGGGAGGCGUUACCCGCAGAAGAAGCACCGGCUAACUCCGUGCCAGCCGCCGCGGUAAUAC